Molecule: long non-coding RNA, 1190 nt
Organism: Cyprinus carpio carpio
Lineage: Eukaryota; Metazoa; Chordata; Actinopteri; Cypriniformes; Cyprinidae
Source: Ensembl
UCACCAACACCAGCAGAGGGAGAUGUUGCUGCUGUGAUCCCAACAGACUGCUGAGAAUCCACUGCUGAGAUUCUUUCUGAAUCUUAACAAGAACACAUUCUUUGAGCUGAAAACCCACACACAUGCCACACAUUCUUCUUAUAUUCAGUUCAAAUAAUCAUUUCAAUAAUCUUCAAAAUGAAGAACUAUGCAGAGCAUCUCAGGGCCAUAGUUAAUAUCCAUAUUUUUGUUGUUUUUCUCAGUGGCACUCAUUGGUCAAUGCUUGAGUCACUAGAUAAACCUAAAAAUGUAUUAAAUAAAUAAAGUAAUUAACCCUUUGUCCCGCAAAAAAAGUGCACUGUGGUUUAUUCAUCCCAGAAAAUUUUAAAGAUAACAAGAACAGCAAAAAGCUUGUGACUUUGAUGCAGUGAGUAGAAGCCAGGGGGCCACAGGGAUGGAUUAGAAAGUGUUGGCAUAUAUACACAAGCAUGGAUGCAAAUGCAAAAAAAAAAAAAAAAAAACACACACACACACACACACACACACACACAUAAACUCACAAAUCAGUCUAUGAACACAAAAUCACAGGCACACACAGAAGAGUUUUUCAAGUCUACAGUAUUGCUUUCAACUGGAGAAAAAAAAGGAGUUCCCCUUAGGGAAAUUUAGGGUGCUUGCUGAUCCAAAGAUAAGUAAAUUUAAAAAGAAAUAUACCCAAACAACAAGGAAAUGUUGUUUGAUGUUUUUAAGAUCUGUCUCCCUAAAUGUUUCCAAUUCUAUUUAAUUAUUUAUUCAAAACAAAAAAAUAAACAAUUUUUCUAUUCAUUCAUGUCGUAAGACACCAAGUGCUCAGGAAUUCAGGAUAGGUGAGAGAGAAACUCAGAGACUGUGUGAAAAGAGACAAAGAAGUUGUGAGAAGGGAUGGGGUGGGGGGUGUCCAUUUGUCAUCAGACGAGGAGGGAGGUGCCAGAUUCUGGGAGGUUUGGAUACUCUAUUGAUGCCCCCAAAAAGCAUUCACCAUCCAGCCCCCCUUUCCCCCAUUUUUUUCUUUAUCCCUCGAUUCUAUCCUUUAUUUCUCCCCUCUGCUUUCUUAUCCUUCCACAAGCCUCUUUUACUCUCAGUCCUGAAGGAACACUCAGCUCGGUGCUGUGAUUUUGUCUCCAUUCUGAGGGUGCUGUGAGUACCCUGAACCAGGGAUUUCUUCCAUUCUU